This is a long non-coding RNA of Astatotilapia calliptera (eastern happy), 1175 nucleotides long. NCBI's taxonomy places the organism in Eukaryota, Metazoa, Chordata, Actinopteri, Cichliformes, Cichlidae. The record is from Ensembl.
GAGGACGAUGUCAGCAUCUCAGCCUUGCCCUGCAGGUACCACACAGGAACAGGGUGACGGGGUGUCUGGGGGGCGGGCUACACAUAUGAAUUAACGUGUGGCUGCUGACGGCACCUGGCCCCAUCCCACCUGCCCACCACCGGAGCCCUCUCCCAUAAUUACCCGAGGCAGGCGGCUGCUGGGAGCUGCGGCUCGCUCGAGUCUGUCCGACCGCCUGCGCAGACGUCCUGAGGACUGCUGCGUUAUUCCGAUUGUGUGCACGUCAAAUAAUUUGGCGAGUGUCGGCCUGACAACAGCGGCUGCUGCCUAGUGGGUCUCCUCAGCCGCGGGACCGACUGACUGACAGGCAGCUGAGAGGACGGAUUGGAUCCCAUCCUUUGCCGUGCUCCCCCUCUCUGCCUCUCCCCCUGCGUCUGUCUCAUCACUUCCUUCUCACUCGUUUGCGGCUGAGAGAUGCGUAUCGCCGCUGUCGGUCACGGCCCGUGGCCCCCCUCCGCAACGCUGACAUGGACACAGAAAAGACACGCAAAGGCAAAAACCAGACGUCCACAGUGGGGUCGGCAGUCUGACAAUCAGCACUUUCAGCUCUAAAAGCCAUCCGGUGUUCAUGGAUGCUCGAAACCACACGCAGGACAAUCCACCCACGACGCUGUCAAAGCAAAGCAAGCCCCAAAACAAGAAUCUGCAAAAGGUGGAUGUUUUUACGUUAAUCGUAUUUUCACUGUAACCAGGUUUUGCUCAGGGCCUGGUGUGUCCCUCUGAUGGUUUUAACCAUUUACAAACCUUUAUAAACUUUAAACACCAAGUCUUUUAUUUGAAACCAACCCGGGACACACAAACGUGAUGAAUUUAACAGUAAAUUUAAAAAAGAAAGUUUCACUCCCUUUAUCUUAUUUGAAUUUAUUCAAGGUGUGAGUUUGAUGAUGCUAAAUAAUAAAAAUAAAAAGCCUCUGAUCAAAUUACGUCUGGAUUAUUUCAAAGUUAGAGAGGAGAAGCCAUGUAUGUGACAAAUUGCCGCAAAAUCUACUUUUAGUUUCAGAAAAUAAUAUUACUAGUGUGAGGUCAGAGCAGACGACACUUCAGGCUCCGACAGGUGUCAGGUGCGUUUUCAACCCGGCUCAGCCACGUUCAAACGACCUCUCGGCAUCGCUAACGGCUCCUUUCAAAAUGACCGC